RNAcentral lists this long non-coding RNA (1418 nucleotides) under Olea europaea (common olive). RNAcentral describes it as "long non-coding RNA (OEUR_LNC003715)". Lineage: Eukaryota; Viridiplantae; Streptophyta; Magnoliopsida; Lamiales; Oleaceae. The record is from RNAcentral.
GUCAUUCCGAGGUUGCUUAUGACUCCUAUAGUUCAAGCCGAGCCACCAGCUUGAUAUUUAUUCCUUGUUCUGCGAGAUGUUUCAACAUAUGAAAUGUUGCACUACGACUAUACUUAUCUUCAGAGAGCUUGUUACGCCUCUGCUUAGCCACAACGUGGUUCUGUUAAGAGAGAGGACUUAUAUUAUCUCUUGCAGGGAUGAGCUAUCUACCAUGCAAGGACGUCAGGUGCCACGACGUUGGGAAGACCCACCUCAUUACAAACAAAAAUGGAACCUUUCAUGGAUGGAUCAAAUACCGUGGAAGAUGCCUUUGCACAGAAGAGUAAACCCCUUGCAAAGAGGUCAAAAAUCAAAUGAUAUAUAUGAUAUAUGAUGAGCCAAAGAGCUCUAGAGAGUAUGAGAAACCACAACUUCAGAAAAUAUAAAAAGCUAAAGAGCUUCAGGAAAAGUGACGAGCCAAAGAGCUCCAAAAUGGCAUACCAGGCCAAAGAGCUUCGAAAAAUAGGGACCUCGGUUCCCUUCCUUGAAAAUUCAGCAAAAUAUUAAAGAUAAACAGCUUCGGCACAUAAUUUCAGCUCCUUUAUCAACACUUCUAAGCCAAAGACUCAGAUUACUUCGGGGCUUCAGAUAACACCCACUAUAAGUGCUUGUGCCUAUUUUUAUUAAGUAAUUUCCUUUUAAAUCUCCAUUAUGUGAAUAUCUAUGCCUGAAUUUGGGGGACAAUUGUGAUUACUGUUAGCAUGCAUGUCACAUUAUUGCUAGCAUGCUUCAAGACCCAUGGCAUCAUUUUUACCAGCGCUAGUAUGCAUGACACGUUACAUACACUAUCAUCAGGCAUAUGAUCUGCUAUGAUAUAUGAUAGUUUUCUUGCAUAUUAUAUCUUGAGAAAAUGUGAUAUGUCAUUUAUGAGUAUUCGGAGGGGCAAAAUGGAGCUGUGCUAAUUUGACAUAUGUGUAGUAAAUAUAUUGUUUUGUGUUGUAGCAUUGGUUUAAUCCACAUUACAAAGGAGAUGCUACCGAAAUUUUGAUAGAAUGUAUGACAUUUCCCGAAGCAUAUCAGUGAAGAAGAAAGUAGGCCAAGAGAGGCACUUCAACAAAAAGAGUUGGAACUCGAAGAGGUCCACCUCAGAAAUGAAAUUAGCCCAAGAGGCACUUCUAUGAAAGUAGACCAAGGGAGGCACUUCAACAAAAAGAGUUGGACCCCGACGAGGACCACUCGAAAAUAAAAGCGAACAGAAUGUAUCACAAAGGUAGGAACAAAGAAAGUUUGACCCGCAUAUGAAUGAUACAACUUAGGCUUGGGAGACUAUAUGUUAUAUCCUUAAAUCACUUCACAUUGGGCCUUAUUAUUAGACUCGGACAAAGCCCAUUAUAGUUGGACAACAUAGGCCCAAGAGGCAGCCAAGUAGAAGCCUAAGC